GUGUCAGCCGCCGCGGUAAGACGGAGGGUGCAAGCGUUGUUCGGAAUUACUGGGCGUAAAGAGCGUGUAGGCGGUUGAUUAAGUCGGAUGUGAAAGCCCUUGGCUCAACCAAGGAAGUGCAUCCGAAACUGGUUGACUUGAGUACGGGAGAGGAGAGUGGAAUUCCUGGAGUAGAGGUGAAAUUCGUAGAUCUCAGGAGGAACACCGGUGGCGAAGGCGACUCUCUGGACCGAUACUGACGCUGAGACGCGAAAGCGUGGGGAGCAAACAGGAUUAGAUACCCUGGUAGUCCACGCCGUAAACGAUGGGCACUAGGUGUAGAGGGUAUUGACCCCCUCUGUGCCGAAGCAAACGCAUUAAGUGCCCCGCCUGGGGAGUACGGUCGCAAGACUAAA
This 395-nucleotide ribosomal RNA is filed under the name uncultured bacterium. Its description in RNAcentral is "bacterial SSU rRNA". It matches the Rfam family "Bacterial small subunit ribosomal RNA", at positions 505 to 898 of the family's 1533-position model. The record is from RNAcentral.